AUAACUACUCUCAACAACGUAUAUCUCGGCUCUCACAUCGAUGAAGAACGCAACGAAAUGCGAUACCUAGUGUGAAUUACAGAAUCCCAUGAAUCAUCGAAUCCUUGAACGCAAGUUGCGCCCAAUGCCAUUUGGUCGAGGGCACGCCUGCCUGGGUGUCAUG
RNAcentral lists this ribosomal RNA (163 nucleotides) under Psittacanthus schiedeanus. Its description in RNAcentral is "5.8S ribosomal RNA". It matches the Rfam family "5.8S ribosomal RNA". From Rfam's summary of the family: 5.8S ribosomal RNA (5.8S rRNA) is a component of the large subunit of the eukaryotic ribosome. It is transcribed by RNA polymerase I as part of the 45S precursor that also contains 18S and 28S rRNA. Lineage: Eukaryota; Viridiplantae; Streptophyta; Magnoliopsida; Santalales; Loranthaceae. The record is from RNAcentral.